This 188-nucleotide ribosomal RNA is filed under the name uncultured bacterium. Its description in RNAcentral is "partial 16S ribosomal RNA". It matches the Rfam family "Bacterial small subunit ribosomal RNA", at positions 521 to 708 of the family's 1533-position model. The record is from RNAcentral.
UAAUACGUAGGGGGCUAGCGUUGUCCGGAAUCAUUGGGCGUAAAGCGCGCGUAGGCGGCCCGGUAAGUCCGCUCUGAAAGUCCAGGGCUCAACCCUGGAAAGCGGGUGGAUACUGCCGGGCUAGAAUCCGGAAGAGGCGAGUGGAAUUCCUGGUGUAGCGGUGGAAUGCGCAGAUAUCAGGAGGAACA